Non-coding RNA from Microcebus murinus (gray mouse lemur), 2190 nucleotides. NCBI's taxonomy places the organism in Eukaryota, Metazoa, Chordata, Mammalia, Primates, Cheirogaleidae. The record is from RefSeq and is a predicted model, not a curated record.
AUUGCUCUAAAAAAUAAAGCCUAUUAAAAAAAAAUCACAGACGUGGAAACAUUUAGCAUUGUGUCUGCAUGCAGUUAGUGCAUGCAGCUCUCAGCUCUUCUUUCCUUCCUAAGGUCUCAGAUCACGAGGUUUAAAAGGCUCUUAGGAGUUAAGUCUCUACAGCUGGGAUCAAUUAUGUAACACAGUGCUCCUGGACACCCCUCUAAAAAGAAGCAGAGAAGUCACACCUGUGUUGGGAAGUUCAGCCCCAUUAAUGUGGAAGGACUGGAGUUUGUCAGAUCAGCAUCCUGAAGCAUUGGCUACAUAAGGUGUAUGGGUGGAAAACUUUCUUUCUUCUUGUUGCCCCAACCUACUUCUGAGUAAUUUCUACCCUGAAGUGCCUGAGGCUGCAGGUGUGGAGCUGCGGGAGCGGCAUAAGGUAGGGGUGUUGGCUUUCAACACAGGUCCCUCCUGGUGCAGAUGUUCCAGGACAGGCACACCUUGUCGUACUAAAGCAUGUAGAGAUGAAAGCCCCCUCCCCCAGGAAGACAGCUCAGUGCAGUACAAUGAGAUAGCAGGAAACUUCCAAAAUCAAACCACGAAGAAUGGUACCCUGGCAUAAAUAACAGCAGCUCAUAUUUUCGUCCGUGUGCCAGGCGCCGUGCUGAGUAUAAAGCACGCGAGUGUUAUCUUCUUUCACCCUCACCACACCCUAAGAGGCAGAAAUCGUUAACAGUCUGCAUUUUCUAGUUGAGGAAACCAAGGCUUUAGAGAUACAAACACGUGUGAUGAAGCCAGAUAAGGAUGACUUAGCGGGUAGUGAACUGACCUCUUUGGUGGUCUUGCAGGCCUGGGGAGGCUUGACUGAGGGGCCCCCAACCCAGCCUGGGAGGAGGUGAGUUUGCUGGGUGGAGACGCAGGGAGGGUGCCUGCAGCGGGAACAGUGUCAGCGGGGGCGGGAGGCAGGAUAUAGUGGAGCAGUCGAGGAUGGAGCUAUGACACAGCUCAGGGCUGCUCCACGUGAUAGAAUGGUGGGGGUAGGGGUGUCACAUGAGGUGGCCCUGGAGAGGUCAGUGUGGUCUGGAGGGGGCAGAGGACACAGCACUUAAAGCUGAGGAUGACGGGGGUCAGAGUUUUGCUUUAGGAAGACCCCUCCUCUGUUGCCUUGUAGAGGGAGGCGUCCUGGAGGCUGAGACCUUCGCUGACUGUUCUCUACACAGUGGAGAUGAAGGAGACCGAGCCCUGGCCGCUUGAGGUAGGUACCAAGAGGGAGAGGUGAGAAGUACCUAGCAGUGUGUGCAGGGAGGGGGAGGACAAGGAGGGGUUAGGGAAACAUCCGGGAGACUUGCUGGAAUGAUGGAUACUGGCCCCAGCGGAGAAAGGAAGAGAGGUUUGAACAAGUUGAUGCUGAGGUGCCUGGGGACAGCCAGGGAGGUGGGGCUGUCACCUUUCGUGGCACCUGAGGCUUCAGCGUGAGAGAGUUUCUCAGCCAGGUCUCUUACUUUGAGAGCCCCUGGGAACCCCAAGAUUCCUCAGAGCAUCUUUCUCCCAUGUGAGAGGCUGCAGCAUCCUGGUGCCUUCUCCUAGGGCUCUGAAAAAGGCAAGUCCCCAGAUCUGAGAUCCCCGGAGACCUACAGCUUCCUGAGGGAGUGAGGGAGAGUGGCUUGGCCUUUCCUGGGGACAGCACCAGGGUUUGCCUUUGACUCAGAAACGCUCACUGCCUCCCACCCCUUCUGGAAUCUAUCAGACUGGGGGAGCUGAACAAAUUGGAUCAAUGCCUAGCUCAGUCUCUCUCUCCCUCUGUCUUUUUUUUUUAUUUUUUAAACCUGACUAGCAUAUUCCCUGCAUGAGCUGACUGUCACGUGUUGGGCAGAUUCUCUCCAUUUCAUAACCUACUGCUCUUGUCUUUCAGAAUAAAAGACUGACUCAGGCAGCCCAAGCUUCCACAAACUACUUAGGAAUGAAAGUGACCCCUAAAACCAGAGAAUUUCAAAGACAUCAUUCCCUGGGGGAAGAGGCACUAGCCAGGGAAUCAAAAGACCUGAGAUGUAAUCUUGGCUCUGUUGCUAACAAGCAGUGCGACCUUGGCACCGCUGCCUGUGGAGCAAGAUGGGACAUAACAGCGUCUUUGCUCGUCACACUCAGAAGCCCCUGUUUUAUAGAUGCAAGGUGGUGUGUGGAGCUGCAGUAGUGAAUGUGCUGUGUGGCUGG